GCUUACGGCCAUACCAGCCUGGGUACGCCCGAUCUCGUCUGAUCUCGGAAGCUAAGCAGGGUCGGGUUGGUUAGUACUUGGAUGGGAGACCGCCUGGGAAUACCAGGUGCUGUAAGCA
RNAcentral lists this ribosomal RNA (118 nucleotides) under Salmo salar (Atlantic salmon). The record is from RNAcentral. Lineage: Eukaryota; Metazoa; Chordata; Actinopteri; Salmoniformes; Salmonidae.